UUUUUAAUAAUGAUACAUAUUGAUAACGUGUAAUCGGACAUCAUAUUUUUAGUGGAUUUGUUCUAUGUUCUGAAUUAGAAGCCUGGCGACAUCUGGAAGUCUGCACCUGACGUCAGGGUUCCCAACUUCUCACCGCGCUCAGUCGCUCACCAGCCCCUCGUGGAACUUCUCACAUACAGAACUACAACCAUGUCUGACGAGCUUGACUGUUGCCUUUCUUGCUUGGAUAUAUGUGAUGUUUGCUGUAAUGGAUCUCUACUUUUCUGUCUUGCCUGCGACUGCUGUUGUGAUGGCUCAUCCAAGAAAGACAAGAAACAGAAAGAGGAAGAAGAGAAUGUAGUGACGACUCAACCCACGCCAACCACCAAUACAGCCCAGAACGCAACCUGAACCAAACUGCCAAAUACAGGAAUAAAAGAAGUCUAGGAAGUGAUUUGUAUUUAUGUGAAUGAAUAUAAUAUUCAAACCCUAAAUACUAUCUGUAUGUUUUGUCGGAUGGUCUAUACCAUAUUUGGUAUGUUGAUUAGAUGCUAAACGAAGAAUUAGGAUUUGGUUUGUUAAAUGCAUACUGAAUUAAGGAUUAGUGUGUGAUAUGUUGAUUAAAUGUAAUUAUUUUUAGUGAACGACGAAUAGACAUAUAUGAAAAGUAUUUAUUUUUGUAAAUCUGAUUCCGCUGUUUAUGUAGUUGUCAGUAGUACAUUUUUCCAUCCUUAGUUGUAUUCCACAGGUCUCUGUUUUCCCCUACACUUUUAUUUUUCCGUUUCAUCUGUAUCUCGAAACUUCUUGAUCGACUGAAGUUCUUUCUUGUUUAAGCUUGCCUUUUUUCCUCUGUGAUGUCUCUUUUCAGUAUCACCGAGUUAAAUUUCCUUCCUAAGAUCAAAAUACAUUUAAGUUAGUUUUUCUCUGAGAUUCUAACCGAUCUGUAUAUUGUUUUCUUCUUUUCUUUCUCUUUUUUAAUGAUGGGACCAAUCCUUAGUAAAUUGUGCUUAUAUGUUGUAAUAAAUCCUCGCAUACCUUUAAAUUCUUUUAAUGUUGGUGAUGUUUUGUUUAUAUGUCAUGUUCCAGACUACUUGUCGUGGCAUAAUAUAUUUUCUCAUUAUUAUAAAUAAACAUUUGAUAUAAAA
Penaeus indicus is the source of this 1124-nucleotide long non-coding RNA. RefSeq lists it as uncharacterized. The transcript is spliced from 2 exons. Lineage: Eukaryota; Metazoa; Arthropoda; Malacostraca; Decapoda; Penaeidae. The record is from RefSeq and is a predicted model, not a curated record.